GGAUUAGGCAUGCAAGUCGAGCGAGAACCCGCAAGGGGGACAGCGGCGAACGGGGUAGGACAACGUAGGUAACGUACCCUCGGGGCGAGGACAGCCACGGGAAACUGUGGGUAAUACUCGAUAAACUUCCCAAUCAUUAUGGAAGGGGAAGCAAUGGGUGUGAUUCCACCUGAGGAGCGGCUUACGCAGUAUCAGCUUGUUGGUGAGGUAACGGCUCACCAAGGCGAUGACGCUUAGGGGAUGUGAGAGCAUGAUCCCCACCACUGGCACUGAGACACUGGCCAGACACCUACGGGUGGCUGCAGUCGAGAAUCUUCGGCAAUGGGCGAAAGCCUGACCGAGCGACGCCGCGUGCGGGAUGAAGGCCUUCGGGUUAUAAACCGCUGUCGGAGGGGAUGAAAUGCCGAUGGGUACUCCCAACGGCUUGACUGAUCCUCGGAGGAAGGGUGGGCUAAGUUCGUGCCAGCAGCCGCGGUAAUA
This 480-nucleotide ribosomal RNA is filed under the name uncultured bacterium. Its description in RNAcentral is "bacterial SSU rRNA". It matches the Rfam family "Bacterial small subunit ribosomal RNA", at positions 46 to 525 of the family's 1533-position model. The record is from RNAcentral.